GGUCUUACCUAGCAGCAUUGGAUUGUUCUGCUCUAAUACUGUCAGGUAAAGAUGUC
This 56-nucleotide microRNA precursor is filed under the name Melibe leonina. RNAcentral describes it as "microRNA mle-mir-8 precursor". Its record names the gene mle-mir-8. It matches the Rfam family "mir-8/mir-141/mir-200 microRNA precursor family", at positions 11 to 67 of the family's 72-position model. Rfam says of the family: The bounds of the precursors are predicted based on conservation and base pairing and are not generally known. The record is from miRBase by way of RNAcentral. Lineage: Eukaryota; Metazoa; Mollusca; Gastropoda; Nudibranchia; Dendronotidae.